RNAcentral lists this ribosomal RNA (315 nucleotides) under uncultured Haplosporidia. RNAcentral describes it as "bacterial SSU rRNA". It matches the Rfam family "Eukaryotic small subunit ribosomal RNA", at positions 1286 to 1613 of the family's 1831-position model. Lineage: Eukaryota; Endomyxa; Ascetosporea; Haplosporida. The record is from RNAcentral.
UGGUGGUGCAUGGCCGUUCUUAGUUGGUGGAGUGAUUUGUCUGGUUAAUUCCGGUAACGAACGAGACCUCGGCCGUCUAACUAGCUUUUCGCUCGCGGCUUGCCGUCGAGCGCUGGCGCCUCUGGGCGCUGUGAGCUUCUUAGAGGGACAAUCUGUGYUAACAGAAGGAAGAGUGAGGCAAUAACAGGUCAGUGAUGCCCUUAGAUGCUCUGGGCUGCACGCGCGCUACAAUGGUGCAUUCAGCGAGUUCCUGGCCCGAAAGGGUCUGGGCAAUCAGCAAAGUGCAUCUCGGUCGGGAUAGAUGAUUGCAAUUCU